Molecule: transfer RNA, 65 nt
Filed under: Dipodomys ordii (Ord's kangaroo rat)
Lineage: Eukaryota; Metazoa; Chordata; Mammalia; Rodentia; Heteromyidae
Rfam family: tRNA
About the family: Transfer RNA (tRNA) molecules are approximately 80 nucleotides in length.
Source: Rfam by way of RNAcentral
GGUGGCUCAGUGGUAGAGCACUUGCCUUGCAUGCAUGAGGCCCUGGGUACGAUUCCUCAGCACCA